This 564-nucleotide ribosomal RNA is filed under the name uncultured Glomeromycotina. RNAcentral's name for it is "SSU rRNA". It matches the Rfam family "Eukaryotic small subunit ribosomal RNA", at positions 548 to 1114 of the family's 1831-position model. The record is from RNAcentral. Lineage: Eukaryota; Fungi; Glomeromycota.
UUGGAGGGCAAGUCUGGUGCCAGCAGCCGCGGUAAUUCCAGCUCCAAUAGCGUACAUUAAAGUUGUUGCAGUUAAAAAGCUCGUAGUUGAAUUUCGGGGUCAGUAGGUUGGUCAUGCCACCGGUAUGUACUGGUCUCACUGAUUCCUCCUUCCUGAUGAACUGUAAUGCCAUUAAUUUGGUGUUGCAGGGAAUCUGGACUGUUACUUUGAAAAAUAGGAGUGUUUAAAGCAGGCUAACGCCUGAAUACAUUAGCAUGGAAUAAUGAAAUAGGACGUUCGAUCCUAUUUUGUUGGUUUCUAGGAUUGACGUAAUGAUUAAUAGGGAUAGUUGGGGGCAUUAGUAUUCAAUUGUCAGAGGUGAAAUUCUUGGAUUUAUUGAAGACUAACUACUGCGAAAGCAUUUGCCAAGGAUGUUUUCAUUAAUCAAGAACGAAAGUUAGGGGAUCGAAGACGGUCAGAUACCGUCGUAGUCUUAACCAUGAACUAUGCCGACUAGGGAUCGGAUGAUGUUAAUUUUUUAAUGACUCAUUCGGCGCCUUACGGGAAACCAAAGUGUUUGGGUUC